UUUAUCUGGGAAGCUAAAAAUUACCAUUACUCACCAAGAGUCAGUCCUCAUAGAGGAUCUUUUCCAUAAAGUAUGUUUGUUGUUGCAUGCAUCAAUUUCAAGGGAUUAAAGUAUAUUUUACCUACAAGAGAGUCUUCAGCUCUUGAACUCCAGGAUUCUCACCAGUGGCCAACAGUUUCUCAGACCUUAGGUUUUGAAUUGAGUUACGUCAUCAGCUUUCCUGGUUUUAAGGCUUUCAAACAUGGAUUGGCUUCUCUGAUUCUCCAGUUUGCUGACAACCUAUCCUGGGACUUUCCUGCCAUCAUAAGUGAGACCUGUGAAGAAUUCUACCUUCAGACAACUGCUCAACUGGAUUGAAUCUGGGAGAAGAAGAUGGGGGCAUUAUUUCUUGACAGCCACCUAGAUUCCAACAGCAUCAUGCAACAAAUGGUACUAAGACCUUCAGAACCCUUGAAGAGCUAAUCAGCACUUAUGCAUGAAGGCAAUGUUCUAAACCUUAGUGGUCAGGAAAUGUUUGAGAUUUGAAACAGUUGUUUGAAGUUGAGGCAGAAAGUAAUAAAGAAUACUAAAAUUAUCAAAGAAACACCAAACACAAAUCAAUAGCAUCCAAAUGAGCUUUACCUUUAUAGCUGGUACUCUUUCUGUCCUCUUUUCUGCUUCCUAAGAGAUGUUUUUUGGUGAUUUGGUCCUCCUAAGUGCAUGCACAUUGGACAGGAUAGUAUGAGUAUGAUUAGAGUGUAAGCAUGACUAGAAGCACAA
Molecule: long non-coding RNA, 759 nt
Filed under: Homo sapiens (human)
Lineage: Eukaryota; Metazoa; Chordata; Mammalia; Primates; Hominidae
Description: HSALNT0318376
Source: RNAcentral